UGGGUUACCUGCCCCGAGGUGGGGGAUAACCGAGGGAAACUUCGGCUAAUACCGCGUAUGGCCUACGGGUCAAAGUCUUCGGACGCCUUGGGAGGGGCCCGCGGCCCAUUAUCUAAUCCUUGUUGGUGGGGUAACGGCCUACCAAGGGUACGAUGGGUAGCUGGUCUGAGAGGAUGAUCAGCCACACUGGGACUGAGGCACGGCCCAGACUCCUACGGGAGGCAG
RNAcentral lists this ribosomal RNA (225 nucleotides) under uncultured bacterium. RNAcentral describes it as "partial 16S ribosomal RNA". It matches the Rfam family "Bacterial small subunit ribosomal RNA", at positions 118 to 351 of the family's 1533-position model. The record is from RNAcentral.